Non-coding RNA from Nicotiana tabacum (common tobacco), 189 nucleotides. The record is from RefSeq and is a predicted model, not a curated record. Lineage: Eukaryota; Viridiplantae; Streptophyta; Magnoliopsida; Solanales; Solanaceae.
AGGCACAAAGGAAAAUAGAAGAAGCAAUUCGCCAGAAAGGAAUCGAAGAAAACUGGGCAGCUGCAUUGGAAUACAAUCCUGAAGCUUUUGCAAGGGUGGUUAUGUUAUAUGUUGACAUGGAAGUAAAUGGCCAUCCUCUAAAGGCUUUUGUGGAUAGUGGAGCUCAGUCAACAAUUAUAUCUAAAAGCU